This 1545-nucleotide ribosomal RNA is filed under the name Triticum aestivum (bread wheat). RNAcentral describes it as "partial small subunit ribosomal RNA". Lineage: Eukaryota; Viridiplantae; Streptophyta; Magnoliopsida; Poales; Poaceae. The record is from RNAcentral.
AUGGCUUCUCUUCUUCCAUGGCUGCCAUGGCUCGUCGUCCCCCUCCUGUUCUUCUAUCUACUCGACAUCCUCGCCCAGGUGUGCCGUCGCGGCCUUCCACCAGGCCCCCGCCCGCUGCCGCUCAUCGGCAGCCUCCACCUCCUGGGCGACCAGCCGCACCGCUCCCUCGCCCGCCUCGCCAGGACCCACGGCCCGCUCAUGUCGCUCCGCCUGGGCGCGGUCACCACGGUGGUCGUCUCCUCCCCGGACGCCGCCCGCGAGUUCCUGCAGAAGCACGACGCCGUCUUUGCCACCCGGGCCGUGCAGGACGCGGUCGGCGCGCACGCCAGGAGCUCCGUGGCCUGGCUGCCCCACGCGCCGCGGUGGCGCUCGCUCCGCCGGAUCAUGGCCACGGAGCUGUUCGCGCCGCACCGGCUCGACGCGCUCCAGCGCCUCCGGGCCGAGAAGGUGCGGGAGCUCGCGGCGCACGUGGCCCGGCUAGCGCGCGACGGCGCGGCCGUGGACAUCGGCCGCGUAGCGUUCACCACCAGCCUGAACCUGCUGUCGCGCACCGUGUUCUCCACGGACGUGACGAGCCUCGACGACCACGGAGGGUCCAAGGGGUUCCAGGUGCUGGUGGCGGAGAUCAUGGAGGUGGCCGGCAGCCCGAACGUGUCCGACUUCUUCCCCGCGCUCGCGGCGGCCGACCUGCAGGGCCUGCGCCGGCGGUUGGCGCGGCUGUUCGCGCGGCUGCACCUGGUGUUCGACAGGGAGGUGGACCAGAGGCUGAGCCGCCGCGCGCGCGACGCCGCCGGCGAGCCCAGGAAGAAGAACGAUGACAACGACGGCGGCGACUUCCUGGACGUGCUGCUGGAUGUCGCGGAGCGGGACGACGGCCAGACCGCGCCGCUAGAUCGCGACACGCUCCGGUCGCUGUUCUCGGAUCUGUUUGCUGCUGGCAGUGACACAACCUCCAGCACAGUAGAGUGGGCAAUGGCGGAGCUUCUUCAAAACCCAUCAUCAAUGGCCAAAGCGCACGACGAACUUGCAAGAGUCAUCGGCUCAGGGAGAGACAUCGGAGAACCUGACAUCGACAGGUUGCCUUACCUCCAGGCUGUGAUCAAAGAAACCUUCCGGCUACACCCUCCCGCUCCAUUGCUACUACCGCGCCAAGCUCAGACGACCAUAAGAAUCAGAGGUUACACAAUACCCAAAGGCGCACGUGUGAUGGUGAACGUGUGGGCGAUGGGGCGGGACGAGGCUAUCUGGUCCGAGCCUGAGAAGUUCAUGCCAGAGAGGUUUCUCGGGAGGGCGGUGGACUAUAGAGGCGGAGACUUUGAGCUGAUCCCAUUUGGUGCGGGGCGCCGGAUGUGCCCAGGGAUGCCACUUGCGAUCAGGAUGGUGCAUCUAGUUCUCGGGUCGUUGUUGCAUCGGUUCGAGUGGAGGCUCCUGACGGAGGUGGAGAGAAGUGGGAUUGAUAUGUGUGAGAAGUUUGGGGUGACACUCACGAAGGCCGUGCCUCUCCGUGCUAUUGCUACACCAAUAUUAGUGGAUGACAACCGUUGA